This 72-nucleotide transfer RNA is filed under the name Phyrella fragilis. RNAcentral describes it as "tRNA-Leu". It matches the Rfam family "tRNA". Rfam says of the family: Transfer RNA (tRNA) molecules are approximately 80 nucleotides in length. Their secondary structure includes four short double-helical elements and three loops (D, anti-codon, and T loops). Lineage: Eukaryota; Metazoa; Echinodermata; Holothuroidea; Dendrochirotida; Phyllophoridae. The record is from RNAcentral.
ACCUUAAUAGCAAAACGGUAAAUGCUGGGGCCCUAAGAUCCUCAACAAAAAGUUCAAUUCUUUUUUAAGGUA